This is a long non-coding RNA of Rosa chinensis, 734 nucleotides long. RefSeq lists it as uncharacterized. NCBI's taxonomy places the organism in Eukaryota, Viridiplantae, Streptophyta, Magnoliopsida, Rosales, Rosaceae. The transcript has 3 exons. The record is from RefSeq and is a predicted model, not a curated record.
ACGUUUGUCUCUCCCGUCGCUUCGAUUUGUUUUCUUUCGUUUUGGGCUUGGUUUCGCCACAGAGAGCGCGGGAGGGGAGGUUGGUAAAAAAAGGAAUAGCGGUGAGAUAGUGUGUUCGAUUUUCUCAGCAAUUUUAACUCGGAGGUUACUUGUGUUCGAUUUUCUCAUCGCUGCGGUGGAAGAAAACAAAUCCGUCUUCCUUGGCCCUUUCAAAUUUGUAGGGUUGUAUUUCAUAAAGAUUGAGGCAGGAAAACCACUUUUGUUUAAGUUACUCCUAUUUGGAUUCAGCUGGCAUGUCAAAUUUCCGAAAUGGGUGCAAUUUUGCAGCUGGAAGGGCUACUACACUUCCAGCAACUGCAACAUCUAUCUGCCCCUUUUCAUUUGGGAUUCAGGUCUCUCAGUUUUUGCGAUUCAAAGCCCAGGCUCUUCAAUUGCUAGCUGCUAAAAAGCGACAGCUCCUCAAAUGAGAUGGCAAACGAGCUGUUUCCUGCUGCCAAUUAGGCAACUGACAUGACAGAAUCAACCGAGGACACUUCUGAGGAGUUGAUGUAAAGUAGUUGGUUCAAACUGCAAACAUAUAAAAUUUUUGCUCGAGUCUAAUCAGAUUUUGCUAAAGUAGUUGGGUAGCAUCUCAUAUUUUGAAAUUCGUAAAUACACAUCUGGUCAAGAUACCAGAUUUUGGAAUCUGUAAAACGAUACUAUCUUCCGUUAUAUAAUACAUCUAAUGUUUGUAA